Non-coding RNA from Nicotiana attenuata, 167 nucleotides. NCBI's taxonomy places the organism in Eukaryota, Viridiplantae, Streptophyta, Magnoliopsida, Solanales, Solanaceae. The record is from Rfam.
AUCUUCCGGUGUUCCUGUCGCAGAUGACUUUCGCCCUUCUCUACAACGACCCUUCAUACCCCCCUUUCUCAAAUUACAAUAAAGAAAUCAAAUAAUUCAUUGUUUUUCUACUUGGAGGUUUUUUAGUGUGACAAAGGCGAGUCAUCUGUGACAGGAUAAUGGAAGAU